GCGCCCUUAGCUCAAUUGGAUAGAGCAUCUGACUACGGAUCAGAAGGUUGGGGGUUCGACUCCCUUAGGGCGUGCCA
Molecule: transfer RNA, 77 nt
Filed under: Cloacimonas acidaminivorans (SeqCode)
Lineage: Bacteria; Pseudomonadati; Candidatus Cloacimonadota; Cloacimonadia (SeqCode); Cloacimonadales (SeqCode); Cloacimonadaceae (SeqCode)
Also listed under: 3 other names
Description: tRNA-Arg
Rfam family: tRNA
About the family: Transfer RNA (tRNA) molecules are approximately 80 nucleotides in length. Their secondary structure includes four short double-helical elements and three loops (D, anti-codon, and T loops).
Source: RNAcentral